GGGCGGUUAGCUCAGUUGGUUAGAGCGCCAGUAUGACACACUGGAGGUCACAAGUUCGAUUCUUGUAUCGCCCA
Molecule: transfer RNA, 74 nt
Filed under: Treponema sp.
Lineage: Bacteria; Pseudomonadati; Spirochaetota; Spirochaetia; Treponematales; Treponemataceae
Description: tRNA-Val
Rfam family: tRNA
About the family: Transfer RNA (tRNA) molecules are approximately 80 nucleotides in length.
Source: RNAcentral